GAUCCUGGCUCAGGAUGAACGCUAGCUACAGGCUUAAUACAUGCAAGUCGAGGGGCAGCAUCAUCAAAGCUUGCUUUGAUGGACGGCGACCGGCGCACGGGUGAGUAACACGUAUCCAACCUGCCGACAACACUGGGAUAGCCUUUCGAAAGAAAGAUUAAUACCGGAUGGUAUAGUUUUCCCGCAUGGGAUGAUUAUUAAAGAAUUUCGGUUGUCGAUGGGGAUGCGUUCCAUUAGGCAG
RNAcentral lists this ribosomal RNA (241 nucleotides) under uncultured bacterium. RNAcentral describes it as "partial 16S ribosomal RNA". It matches the Rfam family "Bacterial small subunit ribosomal RNA", at positions 15 to 248 of the family's 1533-position model. The record is from RNAcentral.